CCGACUCUAAAUAGGUUCGGGAAUAAGGGGUGGGUAAGGACGGUCCCAGCCGCCGCGGUAAUACCGGCGCCUCAAGUGGUAGUCGCUUUAUUGGGCCUAAAACGUCCGUAGCCGGUCUGGUACAUUCGUGGGUAAAUCAACUCGCUCAACGAGUUGAAUUCUGCGAGGACGGCCAGACUUGGGACCGGGAGAGGUGUGGGGUACUCUCAGGGUAGGGGUAAAAUCCUGUCAUCCUGAGAGGACCACCUGUUGCGAAGGCUCUACACUAGAACGGAUCCGACGGUCAGGGACGAAGCCUAGGGGCACGAACCGGAUUAGAUACCCGGGUAGUCCUAGGUGUAAACGCUGUGGGCUUGAUGUUGGGGACGCUCCGAGCGUUCUCAGUGUCGAAGCGAAGGUGAUAAGUCCACUGCCUGGGGAGUACGGUCGCAAGGCUGAAACUUAAAGGAAUUGGCGGGGGAGCACCGCAACCUGAGGAUUGUGCGGUUUAAUUGGAUUCAACGCCGGAAAUC
This 512-nucleotide ribosomal RNA is filed under the name uncultured Candidatus Poseidoniales archaeon. RNAcentral describes it as "bacterial SSU rRNA". It matches the Rfam family "Archaeal small subunit ribosomal RNA", at positions 413 to 926 of the family's 1478-position model. The record is from RNAcentral. Lineage: Archaea; Methanobacteriati; Thermoplasmatota; Candidatus Poseidoniia; Candidatus Poseidoniales.